RNAcentral lists this long non-coding RNA (449 nucleotides) under Hordeum vulgare. Its description in RNAcentral is "long non-coding RNA (HVUL_LNC017762)". The record is from RNAcentral. Lineage: Eukaryota; Viridiplantae; Streptophyta; Magnoliopsida; Poales; Poaceae.
AUCAUGAUUGUGUCCCCGUCUGCCCCCCACGUCUGUGCUGCUCCUCGCCGUCCGCGGCGGUCCGAUGGUUGCGCUCCGUGAGGUGGAAGCUCAACGGGGAGAAGACGGGCGGGGCAUGGAUGAGGAGGGAGAGGGGUGCACGAGGAGAGAGCGAGGCAGGAGGCGGCGGCGGGUCGGACGGACUGAUCGUGAUGGAGGCGAUCGAGGCUGGUCGAUAGGUUGCCAACAGCGAGCGCUGGGGUGUUGGGGUUGUGUUCCAUGGCCACUCCCUUCCCUGGAGAAAACAUAGAUUAGAGAGAGAAGCAGAAGGGAAAGCCUGAGAGAAGAGGAGUAGACGGCUGGCCUGCGUGAGGCGGCUCUCACGGCAGAGGUUGGAGGAGGCACCUCAGGAAGCCGGUUGCUGGAGAGGAGAAAAAGGGAGCUCCUCUUGGUCCUCCUUCCCCCGACGA